ACCAAAACAAAAUAUAUCUGCUGUCAUAGCCCUCGUUUAACAUAGAAGACUUCAAGGCAGGAACUUUCCGAUGUGAGCCGGCCAGCCAGGGGCUUUUCUAGGUGACACAAAAAACAAAGGUUUUCAACCCAAAGAUAAUUUGUCUGGGUCCAGUUCAGUCCGCCAAGCAAAGCUCCUGUACAGGAUCAGCUCAUUGACUGAGAGCAUCAGCUGAGUGCACUCGGCCAC
This is a non-coding RNA of Pelobates cultripes (western spadefoot toad), 228 nucleotides long. The record is from the annotation of a GenBank genome assembly. Lineage: Eukaryota; Metazoa; Chordata; Amphibia; Anura; Pelobatidae.